RNAcentral lists this ribosomal RNA (465 nucleotides) under uncultured bacterium. RNAcentral describes it as "partial 16S ribosomal RNA". It matches the Rfam family "Bacterial small subunit ribosomal RNA", at positions 339 to 795 of the family's 1533-position model. The record is from RNAcentral.
CUACGGGCGGCUGCAGUGAGGAAUUUUGCGCAAUGGGCGAAAGCCUGACGCAGCAACGCCGCGUGAGUGACGAAGGCCUUCGGGUCGUAAAGCUCUGUCAAGCGGGAAGAACCCGCGGACGUCCAACAAGCGUCCGCGCUGACGGUACCGCUGAAGGAAGCACCGGCUAACUCCGUGCCAGCAGCCGCGGUAAUACGGAGGGUGCGAGCGUUAUUCGGAAUUAUUGGGCGUAAAGGGCGCGCAGGCGGCCCUGAAAGUCAGAUGUGAAAGCCCGGGGCUCAACCCCGGAAGUGCAUUUGAUACUGCAGGGCUUGAGUAUGGGAGAGGGAAGUGGAAUUCCUGGUGUAGAGGUGAAAUUCGUAGAUAUCAGGAGGAACACCGGUGGCGAAGGCGACUUCCUGGACCAAUACUGACGCUGAGGCGCGAAGGCGUGGGGAGCAAACAGGAUUAGAUACCCCAGUAGUC